RNAcentral lists this long non-coding RNA (17911 nucleotides) under Coffea arabica (coffee). RNAcentral describes it as "long non-coding RNA (CARA_LNC005852)". Lineage: Eukaryota; Viridiplantae; Streptophyta; Magnoliopsida; Gentianales; Rubiaceae. The record is from RNAcentral.
UUUUUUUUUUUUUUUUUUUGGAUACUUGUACAUAUGGAAGUACAAACUUAAAAGGAAACAUCAAAAAAAGAAAAGGAAAAAAUUGGAAAAAGAAAAAUAUAUUUGUGUAUAAGUAGAGUUUAUAUUUAUAACGAUCGUAACUACCUCUUUUAUCCUCUGCCGGGAGCAUGUGAGAACUGAGAAGCCCAGAAUGGCAGCUUUUACUUCUACUACUAGUACUACAUUUUGCCUAUCUUCCAAAAAUACAACCAAAUUUCUAAAAUUUCUUCUUACAAAAACUGUUGUUUCAUUCCCAAAACCCAAAUUAACGGCUGCAACUAGUCAUUUUCGGUUAAUUUCCAGAUGGGCUUUUUCCAAUUCCAGUUUCAAGAAACUCAGCCGCGUUUUCUGCAGCACACUCCCCACUGUCUCCACUUCCACAACCCACUACGAGGUAUUGUUCUUUGACCAAGAAAAUUCUUUAACGUUGUUAUUGUUUAAAUUUGUAGCAGCCCCGAAAGGAAAAUCAGAGAUAAAUUAUACGAUGAUUCUGUUUUUUUUGUGGAUUUUCUUUUUCUGUUUCUGUUACAAGUUUGUGAAGCAAAUUACUGAUGAAGCAAUUUUAGUAGUUUUUGAUGGAUGAUUAAUUUUUUAUUUGUUAGAUAUGGUGGUUAUGCGAAUGUUACUCCAUUUUGAAACAAUCCUGAAAAUGCAAAUUAUAUGAAUUCAACUUAUGGGUAUAAACUAUAAUGAAUGUGAUGAAUUUCCUUAUCCAAUUCCCCACGUUGAAUAAGUGUCAUAGCUUUUUAGCUACAUAGUUCUAUAAGGAACUGAAUACAAUUGAAGGAUUUUUUAAAAAAAUAUAUAUUUAUCUUUGGUGCUAUUAUAAAUUCUUUUUGCAAGACUUCUUGUCGUGUUGGAAAGACAUGGUCCAACGGUAAUGGGAAAGAGUUAUAGCCUUGCAGUGGGGAGAUCAAAAACUAACUCGUUGGAUAAAUAGAUGAGAGCUUGAGUGACUAGAAUGGGACCAAUUAUUGAAUUCUUUUUCAUCAUGUUCACCGUUAUAUGUGCUUGAAUUGGUUCUUGAAAUGUCGAGAAUUAAUUUGAAUUACUGCAUGCUGGUGGAAUGUAAUGUUGAGGCAUUUCCACCAGUGCCACGCUAAAAGUGAAUACAGAUGUAGAAGCUCUUAGAUGUUCGUUCAUGCUGUCUUUCAGUUCUUGUAAGAGUAUAGAACUCCCAUUAUUGCCGAAAUCUUUGUCCUCCAACGAGUUUCCAUUAAACUUUUCUCAAUUGUGUUUCUUCUCAUUUAUUAAUGACUUGUUGAAACUUGGUCGGUUCAUCCUAAUUUGAUAAUUAAAUGUUUUUUCUUAUUAAAAUGCAGUUUUCUGACGGUUCCUCCGAGGUGGAGUUAAGAUUAAAACUUGGGGAUGUGGAUGUAAGUUCUAAAGAUAUAUUUGUAGAUGCAAAUGACAAUUCCUUGGUGAUCCAGGUGCAGCAUUCUGGAUUUCUUCAGACUCUCAUAAACACCAGCUGUCUAUAUGAGAGGAUAAAACCUGGUGAAACAAUAUGGUACAUGCACCAUGCACUCUAGCAAAUUUUAUUUGAAUCAGUUCUUGAAUCAUCCAAUUUGAAUUUUUUUAUCAUCAUUACAGGUAUAUAGAUGAUGAUGAGCUUGUUGUUAACUUGAAGAAGCAAGAUCCUGAACUGAAUUGGCCUGACAUUAUUGAGUCCUGGGAGUCUCUUACAGCAGGAGUCACACAACUUUUACAAGGAACAUCAGUUUAUUUAGUUGGGGAGUCAACUGAAAUAAACCAGAAGAUCGCUCGAGAGCUGGCAGUUGGCCUAGGGUAAAGUAGCUCAUGCAAUAGAGUUGUUAAGUGAUUCAACAUUGGGUGUCUUUUUGGAAGUUCCUUGACCUGUUAGAUGCUUAUUCUUUUAUCUACUAUAUACGCUGUGACCACAUGAUUUUGCAUCAUUGUCUCAUAGACUGUGAAAUCGAUCUUACCUCCCUUGUUAAGGAAAAUGCCAAGGAAAGGCCGGUAAUUAAGUUCUGGAUGCUUUAGUAUUAGGUCAUUAUGUUGUUUCUGCAUAAUUCUCUCGUGUUUUAAAAACAUAGAAGGAAACUGUUGUUUCCUUCAUGCUUCUAUGUCCUUAAAAUUUCUACUACUAAUUCAUCUUUUUUCUCAGAUCAGCUUAGUAGCUUAAAGGGAUGCUUGUGUGUUAUUUUUCAACAUGUGUGUUAGACAAAUUUAUAGUUCGGUACUUUGGUGAACUUUACAGCUCUUUCUGAAAGAUUACCGGUGCAUUUCUAUGUCUAGUUCAUAUAUUUUUUUGGCCUGACAGGUUUCUGCAUUAUUAUCCUCUUUUUUGUGUUCUUCAGGUAUACACCUCUAGAAACAAAAGAGCUAGUGGAAGCAUUUGCAAAGCAAACAAUCGAUUCAUGUAAGUGCCCUUGUGCUUUAGUCAACAGAAAAGAUUUUGCUUCUUUGUUAAGAUCUUAUAAUACAGAUUCAUGGUUAGGAACCGCCCUUCUAUGUCCUUGACCCUUUUUUUUCUUGGAUUAAGACUGAUCAGUUUGUCUUUAAUAAGGAAUAUGUUACUAGCAAUCAAGGAAUGUAUAGGCAAUAUUUCUCUUUCAAGGGACGAAAUAAGCCUCAGGAGUUACACCAGCUUCAUUUAUUACUAGGAUAUAUGAGCAACAUGACAGUUUUUGCAGUGUAAAACAUAUUAAAGGUUCAACCUUUUAACCCAUUUACUCUACUUUUCUUCCCCAAAUUAGCUUGCAUCAGACCCCCUGAGUGUGUGGAUGACAGCUUUAACCCUUGCACUGACCCAAUGGGGUAGUCGGCCAGUGUCCUGGGCCAAGAACAGGCAAAAGUCUAGCUGUUGGCAGCUAAUUAAGUACCAAUGGAGGAAAACUGUGUUUAGCUAUAUGGAAAUUCUAAAGUCUGUUAAAACUGCUUUAAAGUUUCUUUAUCCCACACAAUGCAUUAACAGAUGUAAUCAUUUCCAGGGGUCGCUGCAGAGGGUUAUGAUGCUGUGGCUGAAGUAGAAGGUGCUAUAUUGGAAAAUUUGAGUAGGUACACAGUUUUUCCUUGUAUUCAUUUCCUUGGUCUUCAAAAGAUGAAUAUUUUAACGUGAAUCAAUCUUUUAGUCAUGCUCGUACGGUUGUGGCAACAAUAGGAGGGAAACAUGGUGCAGCUAGUAGGACAACUCAGUGGAGGCACCUAUUUGCUGGAUUUACAGUUUGGUUGUCACAGUCAGAAGCAACAGGUGAGGUAUCUUCUCCUGUAUCUUAGUAUCAAAUGUCUGAGCCCUACUCUAGAUUCGGAAGGCAAAACUUCUUAGUUGCUUUGAUUUCCAUGUUGUCUAGUCAUUGCUUUCUGGUCUUCAUGCUGUCGUGUAUAGACGACAUCGUCUGCACAUGGAAACCCAUACGUUAUAAUAGUGUGUUAAGUUUUCUAUUUUAGAGCAUACCAAUGGUAUUAUAUGACUGUGUGUUAGUUCCUAUUGUGCAAGUGCUAAAACAUCUGUCUUGAUGUUUAAAAGUUCCUCACUAAGGUUAAAAACUGCAAUGCUUAUGGACUCAGAAUGAAAAGCAGUAUCACCAAUAAUUCCACAUAGACAACAGAAUCUUAUAAAGCAGCUAGCAAAAUUCCAGUCUCCACGAUAGCUAAGAUCAUGAUGUUUAGAUUAAAAGAAAAAUUAUAUGGGUUUAUACGAAAAUAACAAGUUCGUUCCCAAGAAUAGGCCUAUAAAUGCUUGACUGCAAACCUCAUGUGCCUUCUUUAUCUCUAGGGUGCAUGACGACACACCAAAAGCAUCAGACCUAGUGAGUUGUGAUCUAUCUCUAGCUGUUUGUGUUUACUUGUUUAUCUGAGCUAGAGUGGCUUGUCGCAUAAGUUAACCAGAGAUGAAAAACCUGAAAUUGAAUGAAAUUAUCUUAUUAGUACACAAACAGGUAGGCUAACAGAGCUGUUGUUCGCAUAUGCUAUGGAUGUGCCUAUUCCAGAUGUAGGAUAUCCGUUCCGGUGCAGUUGAAAAUAUCGUUCUCGUGUGAGCCUUGCUAGUUUAUAUUUCAAAUCGUCAUUCUAUGAGCUUUUGUAUUCAGAUGAAGCUUCAGCAAGAGAUGAGGCCACGAGGCACUUUGAAGAUGGUGUACAAGGUUUCUCUAAUGCAGAAGUGGUAGUCAAGCUCGGAGGUUGGGAUGCCAACUACUCAAAGACUGUAGCUCAGGCUUCACUGAGUGCCCUCAAACGCUUAAUCUUGUCAGAUAGAAAGCUUCCAGGUUUACUUUUCAUCCCUUACCAGACAAUGUAUCCCAUUUAAGAAUUAUCCUGAAUUGCUGAUCGAGGGUCUUUAAUAGAGCUAAGUUGGAAGGAGUGAACUCCCUUUCUGUAUAUCUGGUGGUCUCAAUUAGGGAGUAGAUGGUGUACAUGGUGCAUUGCAUGAGCAAAAAUCCUGCAUAACAGUUAUCAACACUCUCCUCAUUUUCUCUGAUGUUGAUGCCAUGAUGACAUCGUUGACUCGGUUCAUUUUUCUAGGUAAAAAGAGUCUUUACGUGAGGUUGGGAUGCCGAGGAGACUGGCCAGAUAUCAAACCUCCUGGUUGCAACCCAUCAACAACAGAUGAUGCAUCUCUUCCUGGAUCUUAACUCUUGGUAAACUGCACAAAGUUCUUUUCAGCAAGAACAAUCUGUUUGCUUCUUUUUAUUUUGCAUUUUUUGGAGAGGGAGCAAAGAGAUAGCUGCAUUAUGAAAAGAUGUUCACAGGGGCCAAGUAUUAGCAGAAAUGCUUCUACUUAAUGUACGAGCUGAAUAUUGUAUUCCUGUUCCUGUGUGAAUCGCAUUUUUCUAGAUUUUGAACACAGUUUACUGGAGGUACUGCUUCAGCAAUAGCUGUAUGUACUGCUCACAGUAAAUUCUAUGUUAUCAGAACAAUAAACAUUUCAUUCUGAAAGUUAAUACUCAACUCUCCAGGGCAUAUAAUUAUAUUGGGUGAUGCACACCAGGUGAGGAAUUGGAUGGGGAAUUUAUGGGACCAUAACCUUCACCACACUUGGAGGGAAGACAAUUAGAGUCUGUGUAAAAGCUACAGAGAAGAAAACUGCAUGCAUGUUCUGUAACACCCCCCCCCCCCCAACCCACCAAAAACCAACAUAAAGGGAAGGAAAUUAAUGGUUGUCCCUUUUUGUCAAAGAUCAACUCUAGCUUGAAUCAUCAUCUCAUGGAUAGUUUGAUUGAUUAGAAUCAGUUCUGUCAUUGGAAGACUAGUUAGGAAAAUCAGGCAUUGUUGGUUUAGGCAAGCACGCUAUAAUGAUGGAUUCAUCAAAAAUUUGAACAAGUUAAAUCAUCUCAUGGACAAGCUACCACUAGCAACUUCAUUUAUCGGUUCUGUAAUUCAAAAUGCUCAACUAAAUUUAAUUCAUUUCCCAUCACAUGUAAUUGUUCCACACUUCUCUAUCCAUUUCUUAUACUUGCAAAAUAAGAGCCAAAAUAUGUCAGGAGAUUUGUCAGUACUAAAUGCCAAUAAUUUUUGCGAUUUUCCUUCUUUUUAGCAAUUUCCAAACAGUAUUUAGCCAUUUUCCUCUUUAGGCUACUUCUAAAUGCUGAUUCGUACGUAGAUUUGAAAGACCUCAAUCUUCUUGCAAUAUAAAAACUUGCAUUUUCGAGCCAUGUCACACUCAGUGUAUAGCUUCUCAACCAAUGAUUCGCAUUACAAAGCCUUUAUAUGGUUGAGCAGAACAAACGAAAUUCAACAUUUAUUAAAGAGUCAGAUUUCUCAUUGGAGGGUAAAAUAAGAAACUAAGCCGCAGUGAUGAAUCUGUUUCAAAGGACUCCACAGAUGAGAUGUUCCAUUCAAAAGAGAUUAAACUACAUAGUCACAACUUAAAAGCUGAAAACCAGGCCUUUCAACAAGUUUUAACACCAAUUCUCCACAAAUCAUCAAAACACCAUAAUCAUGUAGAGCGAACCCAAGCUUCCGAUUCAGGUUUCGGAGUCACCAAUUCAACUUUAGAUUUCAACUGCAUCUGCAACAACAGGAGGGAAAUAAAAAGGACUAAUUACUAAAGAUGCAAGCUAGAACCUCGAGCAGUCAGUUUUAUAUAAAAUCCCAAGCUAAGGUGAUAGGAAUUUGAUGCUAUCAAAAGAAGUUUAAGCAGUCCACAAAGAGUUUAGAAAUUAGUAUACAACACACCAAAUCUAUUGCUCAUCUUUGGGCUGAAUGCCCAAAAUCCAACCAUAUACAUCUUAACAAUCUAUCAGCUUCAAUUUCACAAUAAACAAAGACCGUCAGAGAGUAUCAAAAGGCUCUAGCAAACCCAAAGACUUGCAUGAAAUGCAGGGGGAAAAAUAAUGCUUUUACUUUCAAUAUGAUAUCUACCCUGCAUCAACUCAAAAAUGCCCAAACACAACCCUCACCCCCCCCCCCAUGUAUGAAACACAUUGAACAGUUUGAAGAAAGAUAUAUCAGGAAAACAAAACAUGUACUCCAGCCCAAAGGUAUGAAUCAGCAGACUUUACCGAAGCAUAAACUACACAUAUGAACACCAACACAAAGGUUAUAAAACUCCAGAACACAUCAACUUGCUUCUCAAAGUCAAUGAGGGCCUAAGUUUCAUUAGUUUCCCUUGUAUUGAUCACAUGGAUUUAAGAACUGGUGAAGCCCUCAAAUAGCCCAGUGUAUCAACCGUUUUGGAAAGUGAUAUAAUAUGGUCGCUGCUCACUAAAUUGCUACAGACUGGUGUGUUAACCUUCUAAUAAAUGAGGUGACCUGGGUUAUUCAAUCAUUUUCUUACUAAAUCACUAUAGAAACAAGAACAGAUAAGACCAGCUUGCAAGCAAAAUCUGAUUGAUGACAGGAAUGAAUGGUGAAAGAAUCACUAAUACGAACACUAUAGUAAUCACUAAUAUUAACAUGUCUGAAUCAAAUCAUCUUUCAAUUAUUUUGAUCAGUCUAAGCCUUACCUUGGACUGGAGACUUGUAAUUGUGGACCUCAGCAAAGAAUCCCCAACUAUCAUCCUCAAGUUUUUAACGAAAUCAUCGCGAGUCAUCUUCUUAUUCUGUAAGGAAUGACAAAGCAAAAAAGGAAAAAGAGACGAAAGAAGGUAACAGCUCAGACUUGAACCAGGUUGGGAAAAAAAAAUUGUGUGUGUCUAGCAGACAUACCCUGAAUUCAUCAUAAUUACUUCGAACAACAUUCAAAUCUUUUUCAGGAACUUCAUCGGCAAUGGCAUCAAGCAACAUAGGGAAAGGCAUCCAAGGGGACUUGGGAGUCCUCAGAGAAUUUGAAACCUGGUUGCCAGCUUUUUCUGGAGGCCUUCCAUUCAAAACCUGAUUGCAUUCACUUGCCUAAGAUAAAAACAGUUAAAAAAAGUUGCAGCAAUGCAAGCAAAUAAGCAAAUAGCAAAAGAAACAUAAAAACAGGUAUGUUAUCAAAAAAUGGAAAUGAUUUUAGCUAGCCAAAUGGUUAUAUAAGUCCCCCACACAAUAGUCAACUUCCUAGCAGCACAAAAGUUAUUUACAGGAGGAAAUUGCAAAUUGCAACCUAGCUCAACAAAGCUCGAGCCAGUAGAGUACAAAGGUUCACUCUGAAGGCUCAUUAAGGAGUCAGUUGACAGAAGCUAGACUAAUACCCUAUUCAAAAAUGAUAAAGAUAAAUAUUGGUAGCUUCCAGAAAUUUGAAAGCUUUAGUUUACUUUAUAAAUAACACGAAUCAAAUUCAGGCACCACAAAGACCCAGGAUAAAGAAUCAAGUGAGCAAGAGGACUAUGCGCAUUUUUGCAGCCUCAAGAGGAAAGCCAUUAGCUUGCUAUCAGUUAAUUCAACUUGUCCUAAAAGCUGCAUACCAAAUAGAGGACAUCCCCGAUCAGAAGAACCUUGUGAACCAAGCCACAUUUCAGAUCACUCCUCAAGCAUGAAGUGCUCUGUACUGAAAAUCAUCAUAUGAAGGAUCCACAAGGUAGGAUUUUCUUGCCAUCAAGUACAACAUUUUCAUGGAAUAUCCCACGUUUAACCAAUGGGAACACUCCAGUCAAAAGCAUAGAUAUCACUUGUUUGCUAUAUCUGUGAAGUCAAGAUAUGUAACCAACUUCAAAUUCAAAAAAGCUCACCUCAAUGAUCCAUUCACAAGCUCAAUGCGCUUUAUAAUUAUCAGCUUUGGCCACACUAUUUCAUACUUUAACUUGCCAAAUUAAGUUCACCAACUGCUUCAUGCACACCAAAUGAUCAAGAAACUAUCCAACAAUCCAACAUUAACUUGUAGAAAACAUGGGCGGGAAAAAAUAAGUCAUCGGAUCCUCAAAGAUAAACAUAUGUGCCCAUCAGAUUGAUCUUACUCUUUCUUAUAAGUCAUUAACCACAAGUGAAUUGCAACAAAAGAAGAUAAAUCAUCAUCAAACCGCACAAAGUAAGUACUCCAAAUCAUCUCCACUCCCAUUAAGCACUGAAAGCCCAAUAAUAAACCAGGAACUGCUUUUGAUAAUAAUAAUCACGUUACAUGUUUCCAUUACUUAGAAACAAGGGGCCCCAGGGAUUAGAAGAAAGACAAUUACAAUCACUAGUACUCGCAUCACAACCGCAAUUUAUCCCAUCCAGCAAAACAAAACAUGGAUUGUCUAUUUUCUCAUGUCUCAAACAAGUGUUUACUCCAAAUUGGGAAGUUGAGCACAAUACACAGAACAAAAGCACUGCCACAACUACACAUUACAGUACCCAACCUUCACAAUGCCUGUUAUUGGUGCCAACAUCAAACUGCCAGUUAGCAAAUGUUUACCACAUGAUACACAGGCACAAACUUACAUCAUAUGUCAGGCCCAUAAGACUUCACUUCAUCCUUGCACGUGUCCUAGCAUUUCAAGUGGGCAAAAAGCACACAUGAAGAAACUUGGUCCUGCUGUACAUUCAAGACCAUUCCAUAUUGCCCCCAGAGAGAAACAAACUUGACAUGAAAUGUCUACGACAAACAAUUUUCCCCUUGCUAAAACAACUUCAGCCCAACAUGGACAGAAGUUCAACAAUUGAGAAACUGAUCAAUUUUAUUCACCUUACGCCCACUUUAUUUAAACAAACUCUCAUCUUCGCUCUAGUAGAAAAUAAGUGGUGAAAGGUAAUGCCCUAUAACUGUUACAGUCACUUCAGUACAAAACCUAGAAGCGCCAGGCAAUAAACUAGUAGUUUUCGUCCAAAAGUGGAGAGCAGGCUUCAAAUACCUGAAGUACUUGAAACAGCCAAGGAAAGAAAAAUGAACCCAAAAAAAAAAGAUUUAUAUACCUGAAGUACUUACCAGAUCAGUUGUAGACGAGUCCAUGUUUACCUGCCCUUCAGGUACUUGAUGACAAAUGCUAGUCCCUUUUAAAUCAAUCUUUCCCUCAGUUUUAGCCAAAACUCCUGUAACACAAAAACAAAAGUAACCACUACUACUAGUUAAUGCUUGGAUAAGGUAACUAGCACCUUGCACACAGUUCAAGAUAGGAAUUUUUAGUUUGACCGUUCAUGCUUCAGCUGCAAGUUUUAGAAUCAGCGACUACAAAAAACUGAUUUAACUUCAUAUUCCUUCACAUUUGAGCAAUAUCACUAAUACAAAUGUAUUAUAUACAAUCCAACCAUCUGAAUAAAUCAAGCCUAAGCCUAAGCCUAAUGAAAAAACUUUCAACUAAGGAUGCAACAUGCAUGUUUGAGACUAUAUUAAUUACAAAACUAUUAAGGGGUAAAUCAUCACCUUCAGCAUCAGAAGAAAUCUUGAAACUGAUAGCAUAUUCUGGGUAGAUAUGAGAAUUUGCAUUCAUGUUCCAUACUACAUAAUGGCUUGGGUUUUGAAAAUCAUCCAUUCCACUAUCAAAGUCCUCGCUACUGGGAUGGAACUGUUCUGAUCCAGGAUGAACAAGCUCUGUGUUUCCCAUUAUUACACGACAAAAUACCAUAUGUCGUACACCAUUUUCGUCAACAUCAGAAUAAUUUGCACUGUGAAAAAAAAAAGAAGGCUGAAACCUCACUGAAAAUGCAUCAAGGAUGAAAGUAUGAUUAUGAUUUACGGAAGAAACCAGAAGUUGAUAUAGCAAAUGUGAAGCCAUGCAGAAACGAGCUGCUAGGUUCUUUACCCAUUACUGCAAAAGCUAGCUAUGCCUAAAAUACAUGUUGCACAGACCGAAUACAACGAUGCAAUUAUUCCUAUUUCAAAAUCAAGAUGAAAAGAUGUCGACUGAGGACGAAGUUUUCAAAAUUAUAAUGACAAAAAAACUUUCAGCAAAUAUCAGCAAUCCUCAUAUUAACAUGAAAAGAGCCAGUUGAGUAAAGCUAGGCAGCAAAGGAGUAUAUGAGAGGCCGUAAGCCCACCAAAGCAUCAAAUUCUACUGAGAAAUGAACUAAACAAUAUUCCAUGAAUGAAAUGAAUGGCUACAAACAUAGCAUGAAAAAAUGCUUAAAUCAAUACUUCACCUGAAUUCAAAAAGAUGCAUUUGACUUAUCUACAGUAUGCUUGGUCCAAAAAGUGAAGCCAAGGGGAACAGCGUACAACCAUAGUCCAUAAAAAGCAAGAAAGUGAGCAAUGUUUACCUUGGUAUAAUUUGAGUGGAAUGAGUUGCUAAAUGAAAACAUUUUCCAGCAAACCUACAAGUUCUAACCAACUUUGUUGUAAAAAAAAAAUGCAAUGAAAACAGAAAUUUCUUCUACAUAAAGAUUCUUGACCUAAUCUCUGUCACACUUCUCUUCAAAAGGCGCACAUUUAAUUCCCCCCCUCCUAACACUACUACUUACCUGAACUAGAUAUAAUAAUAAAUGAAAUAGAUGAAAAUAAAAUACGUCAAUCAACAUAAUCAGCAAUAAUGUCAUUUUUACAUCAGAGAUACAAUACCAGAAGUUCAUUAAAAAUCAUUCAGAAGCAGUAUAGGACAAUUCCAAACAAAGAAACCAUUCUCCAAAUCUUGUCACCUUAGCCCCACAACUUCCUUGUCAGUCCAAUAUUGGGGAGUUAAAAGGAAGCAAUGAAAAGUAAAAAACCAACCCCCAUAAUCAACCAUGAUCACAAUAUUGGCAAUGUUCAGUGAUCACUAACACGAACAGUGAAAGAAAAUUCAAACCUGAGCUCAGUGCAGUUUGCAGGGAUAAGGUGAACUCCAAUGCCAUACACAGGCCUAAGUUUUGUUGGCAGCGAAAAGCCAAGGCCAUACUUCAUAAUACUAGCAGCUGUUUCUUUAGAAGAUGGGAGCCAAGCAUAUCUCACAUUUGCGUCCCCGCGACAGCUUUUAGUGAUGGCAACCUGUUUCUUGAAAAGCUCAAAUCGAGAUUCCAUAAAGACGCCUGAGCCACAAUGGAUCUCAAUUAUAUUUGCAUUAUCCUGAAAACAUAUGCCAUUGAAGAAAAAAUCUCUCACAGUAUCAGAAUCUACUUUCUCCAUCUGUUGGUUGUCAACAAGGGUCACAUCAACUUUCUCAUUUGCUUCUCUGACGCUACUGUCUUCAGCUUCUCCAUCAUAACCUUCUCCUCCAAGUUUGUGAUGAACAUGAAUUUCUUUAAGAAGAGCAUUUGAUUCUCCACUGGACUCCCUCAAAUUUGAAAUAUCUGAACCAUUUAUCGCAAUCUCAAGUUGCAACUUGAUGUCACCAGACACCUGAGGUUCUGAGACUAGAUGGUCCUGACUUCUCUUAUUAUAGGAGCAGGCAUGGAAUUCGCCACCAUCAACAAAAGUCUCAGGGAAAAAGCACUUCCCAGCUUCAUCAAUCCAUGCAAUGGGCUGCAGCAGACCAGUCUUUAAAUCCAGUUGGAACAUAUGCAAGAAGUCUAGUGCAAUGCGUUUCUUAUUAAACUGCAACUCAGUCAUUGCCUUCUUUUGUUGAAGAUCUUUCUUAACCAACAUAAGAAUGUCUUUGGGGAAAUCAACCCAUUCACCCUUUUGGUAAUACAUCAAGCGCUGUGGCAGCCCAGUUUUCAUGAAAUUCACAUGGUAUACUGGCAACUUUCUGCCAUCAAGUUUCCUCCGCUUGCAGAGUUGAAGGGGAGAACCCAGGUUGGAUCGUGAUGGAGACAUGCCAUUUUUUCCAACCAAUGAUGUUUCGACCUGGGCUGCCCGCUUCCUCUUCAGGUCAGGAACAACACGCCAUCUGCUACCCAAUACCUUGGCGAAUUUGGUUUCCAUUUCUACCCACAGGAUCAAUCCCUAUCCGCUGAUUCGAAGCCAAAAGUUGAAAGAGUACUAUUACAUACGACUCUGUCUUGAUUAUUUCUUAAAGGGAAUGUUCCAUUUUUAAAAGUCAACGGAAACCUGGAUGACAAUGGCCAACUCAAUUAGAAAUAUUUUGCAAUUAUUAAUUUCUUGUAGUAAGUCUUUACAUGAUACAAUGAAUUUAGCAACAAGAACCAGACCUCAUACAAAGAGAAACAAUACAAUGAAUCACAAGAAGUUUGACAAAAAAUCUCACAUGCAGAAAGAGACAGACUUGAUCAAUUUCAGUUCAAUUAAAUGUAUUAAGGCAACAAUGCUAAAGCUCACCAAUAUAGCUUCAUAAAGAGGAAGAAAAUCUUUUUCUCAGGAAUAUUUUUCAUCAGGGCAAUUUCACGUAUUUUCAUACCCCAAAUUAAACUGUAUUGUGUUCACUUAAUGCAUGUAACCGAAGACAACAUAAUUGUUUCUGCAAAGACCAAAUAUAGUUAACAACCAAAAAUAGUCGUAUGGGGAAAAAGAUAUGAUACAUGCUUAACAAGACUCUCCGUUUGGGGAAAUAAAACAGAUUAAUUCCAUGUAGACAAGGAUGGUUACGAGGAGGCAUGCAACCAAGUGACAGAAGUUUAUAUCAACAAGAAGUUUAUAUAAAGUUGGCUUAGACCAACUUUAUUGACCACAAACAUCAUCUUAUCAUAGAUGUCUAGGCAAGGUCAACAUGCUUGAUAAGUAUUUCCAUAAAAAAUCUCCUAUCUACAUACCAACUCUUUUGAAUCUUGAGAACACUUAAAAAAAAAAAAAAGGCCAAUUGACACUCUAACUUACAAUAUAUAACAAUUCAAACAAAAUCAAAAUAAAAGAAUGAACAAAUACACAUAGGCUACAUAAUAUUAGCAAUCUUGAGCAACUAUAAAAUAUGAUGUGUCCAUCAAAUUGCAGAUAGAUAAUUAAAAACUCAGUCUGAAAUCUACGCGACAAAGUAAGAAAACAAAAAUUAAGAAGAAAAGAAAAGGUAGGGCUUGACAACUGAUGCCGUCCUACCCACUCUGGCUUAGACAGAAUACUGCAGUGCGACUGCAAAAGCAUCUAUCUUGGAGAUUACAAGGCAUGGGAAGACAUUUCAAGGCUUGAAAGGUGGAAUUUUAUUUUAAACUGACACUAUAAAUAAAAACAAGAAUGCGGUGAUAAAUGGGGAAAAAAUUUAUAUGGAAAAUCACAAGCCAUGCAGAUUACUGACAAUCAAAUAACUCUAGAUCAUCCAAUUAAGAUCAGAAUAAAAGCAAUAAACAAAUCACUCAAGCAUCAAUCUUAACCAGUUAUCAGUAGUGCGUACACAAACUUUCUACUAAUGAAGCAUCAACAUUCACAUUCCCAGGCAAGUAGUGGCAACAGACAGAAACCACCAUGACUACGUAGUUGAGCACAAGGGCACUAGCAGGGGGCUUGACUAGACCAUUUCCCACAACUUGAUGGCAUCACUUGCCCUGCAUCAGGACAACCGAUCACAAAAAGCACCUUCUUAUGCAAUAAAAAGGGGUUACUCUAAUAGCACCCCGUGGUGCAAGCCUAUCUUUGUGCAUGCAAACAAGCUGAAACACAGCCUUCUUCAGAAAGUUACAGCAUUUUUUCCCUAGCUUCGCUGCAUGGAGACCUUAUAGUCGCACCAACAGGGCAACUUAUUUCAGUGUCCUAUGCCCCAACCUAGAUUGUAAACGGAUAUUAUGUGCACAAAAGGCUAUUAACAAAGCUAAACGUUAAAGUUCAAACUAAUAAGGAACAGCCAAAUGUUAUCUUUGGUAGCACAACCCUUUGCCGUGUGCUCAAAGUGCAGUGAUGACGCCAGCUCAACACAUAUUCAUCUCGAUCGAAUUUUAAUUGGUAAUUUGAUGAUGUGCUAGCGGCUUUAGGCCUUCAACCAUUCUAUCUUCCGAGCAUUAAUUGCAAAUUACAUGCCAUAAACAGUCCUCUCCCAAAGGGAACCAAGCGUUAAUAUCCUGUAGCAUUUCCCUUUCUUCCCUGCUUUGAGAGCAACAAGUAAUAACCUUCUCCCAGUUUUAAUCAACUCAUAUCACAAUCAAAUUCUCAUGUAAAAGAAAAAUGGAAAACAGACGCAUACGCACAAGCACACGCGCACCCACACAGAAUCCAUCCAUCAAAGAUAACCUAACUCAAUUCACCAAAAAUUUGAGAAAAAAAUACAAACUAACUUAAUUAGCGAAAAUUUCAGCCUCUAGGGCCCCCAUCAUCUAGAUAUCAACGAUCAAGCAUGCAACUCAAAAGCAUGCAAAAUAAAACACCAGAUUUUCGCAUGCAACGAAUUUACUACUGAUCCCUAGAAACUAACGAAAAAAUCAAAAAAAAAAAAAACUCAACCAAACAACGGUUACUUCAGAUUUUUUUUUUCAGUAAAAAAGGCAAAAAUAAUGACAUAAAUCAGUUUUUAAUUAUAUAUAAACAAAGAGACGGAGAAAACCUUGAUGAAAUACAAAGACCGAGAGCGAAAAGACAAGUCGACGGAUAGGAGAAUCUCUGCUCUAUUCUUCUACGUCGUCGUCUUGGGGGACACAAAACCCUAAAUCAGCAGCACGGCAGGGAAGCAGACUUGUAAGUUUUUUCUCCACUGGGACCGACUAUAAUUUUUCUUUACUUUCCAAUUUUGUACAGCCCAAAAAUUCGAAUUAACGAAUCUACCCUUUUCGUGGAUAAAUGUUAUGCCGGUGGAGGAGCUUGGAGAUGAAGAUUAGUAGUGCCGACGCGGACAGAAAGUAACGGUACCUUACAAUUUGUGUUAAUUCGGUUUUGGCCCUUCAAAUUAACCAAAAGUUUUAUUUAGCCCUAAAAGUGAAAUUGUUUCAAUUGGGCUCUCCAAGUAAUAAAAUCUUUCCAAUUAGGCCCCAGCUUCGAUUUCGUUUCAUUUACUAGCUUUCAUGUCUUUAAUUAUCAAGUGUGCCUUGCAUGUUUAAAUAACCUUAUAAGGCAUUAGGUGAAAGAAAAUUGUUUGUUUAAAGAUAAUUUGGCUAUUUUCGCUAUUAAAAAAGAAGCGGUCGAAAUGAAAAAAUAAUGAAAUUUUAUUAAAAAAAAGAAGAAAAUUCAAGUCUUGUAUGUGAAAGUUCCAUCCACGAGGGUCACUUGUAAGAGAAUAAAUGCAUAAAUAAAAAUAAAUUAUUGAAGUUACAUUGAUGCUUUGUCCUUUAGUGCUCAAUCCUUCCCCCAAAUUGAUUUGGAUGUUGAAUACUACAUGAAUGAUGAAGCUGAAGUCAACGACCCAAUUGAAAUACUUCUGCUUGGUUGAAGAUAAAGUUGGAACAUGUUCGUGUCAAAAGUUUCAUUAUGGCUUUGAUUAUUUCGGAUGGCCAAAAUGAACUGAAUUAUUGCAAGUUGGAGAUUUUGAAAACCGGGUUUGAAUUUUAUUUGUUGUUUCACUUUUGUCCUCAAGUUCAUUUUUAGCCCAAAAAAACACCAUGAACUUUUAGUUUUUUAUUUUUUAUAUUUGAGGGGAAAAAUAUUUAGUUUGUAUCAUGAUAUCUGAGUCCUAAAUUGAGGAGUGCAAGUAAUUAUUUUUGUUUUAUUCCAAGUUUAUUUUGGUUUAGUUUGAUUGUGAGAUAUUCUGAUUUAAAAAUGUCGAAUAAUGUUUGUUUGCAAGGAAAAGUGUAAGAUAGUGCGAGAAAGUUACUUUUUCUUUCGAUGUGUAGUGUUUGUUUGACAGGAAAGUUAGUAAACUUUUCUUCACUUUCCCUCUUUUUUUUUUUGGCAUUUUGUGUCCUAUAGGAUUUUGGGAAAAUUUGUUAGUUAAUCAUAAUAUUUUCAAUAAUUGUCACUAACUACCCAUUUUUCUUUCAAGAUUUUUCUUAUCAAACAAACAUGCAUUGGAAAGUAAUUUUCUCUUUUCUUGACUUCGCUUUCUAUCACCUUACUUUCUCAUGUGACUUUCUUUCCCUCGAAUCAAACAAACCCAAGUUUGAACUUAGCCAAGAGAUGCGCCGGUGUUGGCGUCAGUUUGAAACCACGCUUUCUCAUUGGCAUUUGAAUUCUAUGCUUUACUUUGUUAGGAAUUCAGGUAGAAAAGGGGUCUACGAACUCCAUUUCAUUUUUCAGACUUUUUGCAUUGUAAUCAGUUUGCCAAAUAGUGAAAAUUUGCUCUCUGGGCUAUUUCUCUGUUUCUUUCUCUCAAAGUUCCCCGACUUUUUUUUUUUUUUUCAACAACCGUCCUACCUUCUAUCCAUCUCCUUGUUUUUGAUCCAUUUAUCUCCGAUUCCUGUAAUUACAUAUGUAUGUUCAUCGUACGCAUUAACAUAUGUGUUUAUAAACACACAAGCGCACGCAUAACGGCACAUUUAUAUUCACACAGUUGCACACGCACAAGUAUACACAUACGACAUACGUAUGUACUUAUACACACACAGGGUAAUGGCACAGCUAUGUGUACACACCUAUUUUCUCGUAUUAUCUAUGAAAAUGAAUGGUUUGUUAUGAGUUUGAUGACUUGAGUCCAUUGCAAUUCAUUGAGUUAAUUUGCUCUUAAUUCCCAAAAUAAUUCUGCUUAAGCCAAGAUAAGGGGGGAAACAAAACCCUUUUUUUGUGACGCAUACAUGCCCCACAAAUAUAUGAAUAAUGGGCUAUAUCUAUAUGGAAUAUUUGGGGUAUAAACUUAGAUCAAAUUCAUUAACAGGAAUAUGCAUAUUCGUCCUCAGAUAACCUUUGAAAGCUGUAUACCACUUCAUAUGUUUUCAAACUUUGCUCAAAAGAUGACUUUUUUUAUGGGAAGGGAGAAUCAAAAAAAGGUAGUGGGAUGGAGACAAUAAGGAUCGGACCAUCGUUUGAAGACGAUGAACAAAGAACAAAGUUGUGAACAUAGGCCAAAAGCUCUAUAUAUGAAGUUUAGCAAUUCCUAAAAUUCAGCGUGUACAAAGCUCUAAGGCUUUCUCCAAUGGAAUAUAUCAUUCGCUAAACAGAUGAUGAGUGCAUAGUUAAAGUAAAACAGUAGUGUCAGAAGCAACUCAUCGUCUUGCCCAGCAAUGAGGCUGAUCGAAAUCAAAAUCAUCCAAACUUUUUUCUAUAUGUAUCUAAAAAUUAAAAAUAAAAUAGGACGGUGUGAUUCUUUUCCUUGCCCUCCGACCAACCCACCAUCAGGCCUCAGUCUAUUUCCUAACUGUUGGAGUAAUUACAAUUGGCUUGUACUAUUUUUGUAAGUCAUUUCUAACAGAUCACAAAAAACAAAAUAUACUCGCAGAUGGUGGCGAUUCUUUGGCAACUUCGACAAUAGCGAAAAGAAACGAAUAAAAUUACAAUCCUAAAAAACUGGGAGGCAGACCAUACCGGAGAACCAUACGCACGCAGACACAUGGUCGCAACAAAAGGUACCCCAUAAUUUUAGAUAGAAGCAUAGCAGCCUUGAUUCGUUUAUGUAAUGCAUGGCGUCAUAUUCAGACUAAACCGAAGUAACAUUUCCUUGGCAGUUGGCACACAGUUGAAAGCCAGGAAGAGUUGGGUAGUUUAAUGGACUUGAUACGUGAAACCUUAACACAAAUUAAGAAAAACUCAAUACUGCUAUGGUUACUCUUCAAUUGCUUUAGAGCAAAGUUGUAAGCCAUUCAAGCAAAGGGCCAAAUACUGAAUUCACAAAAACGUCUUUCUUCAACAUCGCCUUGCUUUGAUAACUCACAACAAGCAGACCAAAUUACACAAGCAGGCCGUUGACUUUAAAAGCUGUAUGACAGACAACUAACAAAACUUAACCUACAUUAACAGCGGAGAAAGAACAAGGGGCAGGUUUCC